This 3295-nucleotide long non-coding RNA is filed under the name Homo sapiens (human). RNAcentral's name for it is "POT1 antisense RNA 1, transcript variant 2 (POT1-AS1)". Lineage: Eukaryota; Metazoa; Chordata; Mammalia; Primates; Hominidae. The record is from RNAcentral.
ACGCAUGCGUGCAGGAUCCCUGGGCAUAGUCGCUUGUUCUCCGCCCGCGGUGGACCAGCUGCGUAACGGUUCACACACUGAUGGCGCCUGGAGGUUUGGCGAAAUACUGACAGGAUGCGACGUCAACGGGAGCGCAGGGCCAAGAUACCCUUUAUAUCAAACCGUCUAUCCUGGAGCAGAAAAAUCCUGUCUUCAUUGCUAUAGCUACAGAUUCAGAAAUGAGCAUGUAACAAAUUCAGGCCAAAGAGAGGCAAUGGAAAUCAGAGAAACACUGUUCCUGAAAGCUUCUGUCACUCAAGAAUCCAUGAAACAUUCAUGAACUUCACAUCAGAAGCCAAGCCCAGAAAAUAUGGGUUUAAGGUUUGCCUAUAUGUCCAAUACAAGAGAAAAAAGAACAUUCCACUUCUUUAGAAGGUUCUACUUUGAUCUCCUGAUUCCAGUUGUGAAAAAAAAUUGUGCCUAAAGAAUAUAGUCCCUUUAUAGAAUUGUUUUGAAACCUACCACAGGUAUUUCUACACAGGUGCUAUUGUGGAGGUGCAUACCCAACAGUUUGAUAAUGUAGAGGAAGUGAUAGCUUUGUCUCGUGGAAUCUGGGUCGACCUCACAGAGGAGCUGUUAUUUGUUCUGGAUAUUGAACAGUGACAAGGAUUCAGUGGGAGAGAAAGAGGCGAGGAUUUUAAUGCAACUUGUUACACAAGAUGAACCCAAACAUAUUUGACUUUUUAUUUUCAGAAAAGCUUAAUACAUAGUUUUGAAUAUGGAUUGUCCCACAGGAUAAAUGCAUGAAAAAAGUUGGAAAAGAGAAAUUGAAUUACAUCCUAAUUGUAGUGUUUUCUCAGGCAGAUCAAUUUUAGAAAGAGAACAUUGACUUGGAAAACUGAAGAGUAAUUAUUCUAAAACGGUUGUAACAGUUUACUCCUUUUAUGUUUGCAAACUUCCAGGAUUAGUGAGUUGCAUAAAGUCACAUAAUUUAUUGCGUUGGUGCAAAAGUAAUUGUGGUUUUUGCCAUUAACAAAACCGCAAUUACUUUUGCAUCAGCCUAAUAUAAGUGAAUAAAUUAAUAUUAGAACACAGGUCUAAUUAAAAGGUUCUGCUGUGUUGUGUCCUGUGAUAACACAGAAAACAAACAAAUGGAUAAUUACAGAAAAAUUUUGGAUAUAAAAUUAGCAGGUAAUUUUCUCCCUCCUUUCCUUCCAUCUUUCCAUCCUUCUUUGCUUCCUUUGCUUUCUUCUUUUCCUUUGUUUUUUGUUUCUCUCUCUCUCUUUUUUUUUUUUUUUUUUUUUUUUUGCAAUUUGGAGAAGGAAGUACUUUAAAAGAAAAGUUAAAAGGCAGACAUAGAUAGCAUGAAGCCUAAUUGCAAGAUCUUUUUCAAACAUAUUAGUUUUAGGAAAUAGCACCUGAAUUUAAGUCCCUUAAAAUUGUCUAUGUCUUCACGUCCAAGUCUCUAUAUUUGCAGGGCUGUGUACAAUCUAGACUGAACAUGCUUGACCUAAAAACAGAAGUAAUACCUGGGGCAAAGCACGAUGUGCACCACAGUCUUCUCUCUUUAGUGUGUUAAGAUAAAGUUGAUUCCCAGAGUAGCCUGCCAUCACUAACUCUGAGGGAUGGUGGGCUAAUUUUGAUAGAAGGAGCAGAGGUGGUAGUUAGGAGGAAGGUGACUCAUCAUCAUUGUAUCAGCAGGCAUUGAUGACUGGAAAUAUCAGGGGGCACAGCCUGAAAGAGAAUGGCUUAAUUGGAAUUGAUAGUGGGAACUUGGAAAUCAAUACAUAUGCACUGAACAGAAAAUGGUAUGCUAUAAUCUACUAUACACUGUAUGUGAAACCCAAGCUCCAAAUUUUUCGGCCCAUGCAAUGUCCAGUAAAAUUUCUCUUAGUUACAUUAUAAUUGCAAUGUACAUGUAUUUGAGGAAAAAAAAAGUGAAAGAAAAAGUAACUAAAGAAAAGUGGAAAUGCAAAACUUUGUUUUUAUUAAUGUUAAAAUUUAUUUUGAUCAACUUGCUAUUCUUAAAAUUGACCAAUCUUCUUCCCUUCCUUGCCUCUUCCAUGGUUUAUAGGAUUAUUUUUCAGGGCUGAUCAGUUGGUGUUACAUGUGACUACUAUGCUUAAUGCUAUCUGGCUUCUAACUUUAAGCACUGAAAAAAAGUCCUUCGUAUUUCUCAGUGUGUGAUUGAACUGAGAUGACCAUCCUAAGCCUCCUCAUUACAUAAAUCCUUACCUUCUCCAGAAGCAACGAAUGGUGUUGAGAAUAGCAUAUGUUACUACUCAGCCAUAUUCCAUAGCCUUUUCUCCAAGAUAUUUUUCCAAAGUUGCCCCUUUUCUGAAUCCCUUGCAAGCAAACAAACAACAAAACAAUGGGUAAUAAAAUAAUUGUUUAACUUUCAUUUAUAUGCUCUGAGAUUGAUGUGAUUUUGAUAAAUAACUAUAUUAAAAGACAAAUGGGAGUGGUGAUUUUGUGAAAAGCCCAUGCCUCUGCCCAUGGAAUAUGUGGCUUGGCCUGGAGCUCUUAUUUUACUUAUAUAUUUCUAAGCAGAAUUAUUCAAGAAUGUCUCUUAUUACAGGUCUUGAAACUUGGACAGCCAACAGAAAGGAAGCUAAUAAAUAAAUUUGUCAGAACACGAUUCUCAGUUUCACUUAUUUUGAAUUAAAGGUAACCUGGAAAAUGGAUUAGGAAAACAGCCUAUAAUCAGAGGAGUGACCCCAGUGAGACCCUGUCAUUAAAACUUUAGUGUUGAGCCUGCAAACCUCUGUUCCUCUGAUUAGGCAAUUUACUCCAUUUCCACCUUUCUGUCUGCCAAAACAUUUAGUGGCAAAACAUUUUCUAAUUCUCUAGACUCAUAAAAUGUUGUUUUGAAAAAAAGUAAAACAGAAUGGAUUACCUUUUUAAGCUGUCUAUCAUAAUGUAAUCAGAAAACAUGAGGGAUUAAUAGAUAAUAUUGUAAAGAGGCAAAGGCAGCAGAUGUUAUUUAGAUGAGCAGAAGGUCACAGACCUCUGUUGAGGAUUGAAAGCUUGAGGUACGUGCCUUUGUUCCUCAGUGUGUGUGGAUCAGAGUGAUUACUGAUAUCAGUUAGCAACAUGGUGGAGGGGACAAACUGGGGCUGCAUUUUCACUAUGUUUAUUAUUGCUCAAGGUCAAAAAGUGACUGUGUAGUGCCUCAGUUUUUACAUCUUUGUGUUAUCAAUAUUUUUUUCUAUUACCUUACAAGUUUAUUUUGAUGCUGUAAUGAUGAGACAGUGUUUUGAAAAGUUCUAAAUAAAUAAAAGGGUAUUCUCUAACUUUUAAAAAAAAAAAAAAAAAA